Molecule: ribosomal RNA, 492 nt
Filed under: uncultured bacterium
Lineage: Bacteria
Description: partial 16S ribosomal RNA
Rfam family: Bacterial small subunit ribosomal RNA
Source: RNAcentral
AGUGAACGCUGGCGGUAGGCCUAACACAUGCAAGUCGAACGGCAGCACAGUAAGAGCUUGCUCUUACGGGUGGCGAGUGGCGGACGGGUGAGGAAUACAUCGGAAUCUACUUUUUCGUGGGGGAUAACGUAGGGAAACUUACGCUAAUACCGCAUACGACCUACGGGUGAAAGCAGGGGAUCUUCGGACCUUGCGCGAUUGAAUGAGCCGAUGUCGGAUUAGCUAGUUGGCGGGGUAAAGGCCCACCAAGGCGACGAUCCGUAGCUGGUCUGAGAGGGUGAUCAGCCACACUGGAACUGAGACACGGUCCAGACUCCUACGGGAGGCAGCAGUGGGGAAUAUUGGACAAUGGGCGCAAGUCUGAUCCAGCAAUACCGCGUGAGUGAAGAAGGCCUUCGGGUUGUAAAGCCCUGUUGUUGGGAAAGAAAAGCAGCAGGUUAAUACCCCGCUGUUCUGACGGUACCCAAAGAAUAAGCACCGGCUAACUUCGUG